This is a long non-coding RNA of Eriocheir sinensis (Chinese mitten crab), 444 nucleotides long. RefSeq lists it as uncharacterized. The record is from RefSeq and is a predicted model, not a curated record. NCBI's taxonomy places the organism in Eukaryota, Metazoa, Arthropoda, Malacostraca, Decapoda, Varunidae. The transcript has 2 exons.
AUAUAAGUGUGGUAGUAGUAGUAGUAGUAGUAGUAGUGGUAGUAGGUGGGUCGUAGAAGUUGACGGUGUAAGGUGUCGAAUAGUACGUUAAAAGGUGUUCUAAAAUGCGUGGUGAUAGUAGUAGGUGGAUAAUAGUAGUAGUAGUAGUAGUAGUAGUAGUAGUAGUAGUAGUAGUAGUAGUAGUAGUAGUAGGAAUGUGCGUGUGGGUGUAUGUGCGUGUGUGCGUGUGUUGGUUUUCAUCAAUAUAAUCAUUACACACACACACACACACACACAUACACACACACACACACACACACGCACACACGCACACACGCACACACGCACGCACGCACGCACACACAAGAUAAUCUAUACUAACUACAAGACUGAGAGAGAGAGAGAGAGAGAGAGAGAGAGAGAGAGAGAGAGAGAGAGAGAGAGAGAGAGAGAGAGAGAGAGAGA